RNAcentral lists this ribosomal RNA (776 nucleotides) under uncultured Neocallimastigales. RNAcentral describes it as "partial large subunit ribosomal RNA". It matches the Rfam family "Eukaryotic large subunit ribosomal RNA", at positions 22 to 627 of the family's 3401-position model. The record is from RNAcentral. Lineage: Eukaryota; Fungi; Neocallimastigomycota; Neocallimastigomycetes; Neocallimastigales.
CCUAUACAUGACUCUGCGCAUAUCAAUAAGCGGAGGAAAAGAAACUAACAAGGAUUCCCUUAGUAACGGCGAGUGAAGCGGGAAGAGCUCAAAUUUGAAAUCUUCAAGGUUUUACCUUGACGAAUUGUAGUUUAAAGAAGUGUUUUCUGCUGAAGUUUUGGUAAAAGUUCUUUGGAAUAGGACAUCAUAGAGGGUGAGAAUCCCGUAUUUGACCAUUAUUUUCAGCUUUGUGAUACACUUUCAAAGAGUCGGAUUGUUUGGGAAUGCAGUCCAAAAUGGGUGGUAAAUUUCAUCUAAAGCUAAAUAUUGGCGAGAGACCGAUAGCGAACAAGUACCGUGAGGGAAAGAUGAAAAGAACUUUGAAAAGAGAGUUAAACAGUACGUGAAAUUGUCAAAAGGGAAGCGUUUGACACCAGCGUUGUUUUCUCGAAAAUCAAUUAAAAAUGGCUCGAUUUUGUAUUGCUUGAGACCUUAAAAGCUCACUGUACAUUUUUCGUGUCUUUUUUAAUGCACUUUUCGUUUAACAAGUCAACAUCAGUUUCUUUUGUUGUAAAAGGGUCAUUGGAAGGUGGCUUUCUUUUCGGAGAAAGUGUUUAUAGCCUUUGGCCUCUGCAAUCGGAGAGACUGAGGUCUGCAGCGUAGACUCUUCGGGGUUAGAUACAUUUGUGCUAGGUUAUAGCUUUUUAUAGACAACUUGUUGACUAUAAUUAGUCUUGUAGCUUACUCGCUUAUGCUAUUUUACCUACGCUUAGGAUGUUGACAGCAGUAUAGACUGU